CCUACGGGAGGCAGCAGUGGGGGGUAUUGCACAAUGGGCGGAAGCCUGAUGCAGCGACGUCGCGUGAGGGAUGGAGGCCUUCGGGUUGUGAACCUCUUUCGCCGGUGAAGAAGGUCCUGCUCCUUGUGGUGGGGCUGACGGUAGCCGGGUUAUGAAGCGCCGGCUAACUACGUGCCAGCAGCCGCGGUAAUACGUAGGGCGCGAGCGUUGUCCGGAAUUAUUGGGCGUAAAGGGCUUGUAGGCGGCUGGUCGCGUCUGCCGUGAAAUCCUCUGGCUCAGCUGGGGGCGUGCGGUGGGUACGGGCUGGCUUGAGUGCGGUAGGGGAGGCUGGAACUCCUGGUGUAGCGGUGGAAUGCGCAGAUAUCAGGAGGAACACCGGUGGCGAAGGCGGGUCUCUGGGCCGUUACUGAC
This 411-nucleotide ribosomal RNA is filed under the name uncultured Acinetobacter sp. Its description in RNAcentral is "bacterial SSU rRNA". It matches the Rfam family "Bacterial small subunit ribosomal RNA", at positions 338 to 744 of the family's 1533-position model. The record is from RNAcentral. Lineage: Bacteria; Pseudomonadati; Pseudomonadota; Gammaproteobacteria; Moraxellales; Moraxellaceae.